This 494-nucleotide ribosomal RNA is filed under the name uncultured bacterium. Its description in RNAcentral is "partial 16S ribosomal RNA". It matches the Rfam family "Bacterial small subunit ribosomal RNA", at positions 28 to 507 of the family's 1533-position model. The record is from RNAcentral.
GACGAACGCUGGCGGCGUGCUUAACACAUGCAAGUCGAACGGAAAGGCCUGCUUUUCCUUGUGGAUUUCGUGUGCUCGAGUGGCGAACGGGUGAGUAACACGUGAGUGAUCUGCCCCCAACUUGGGUAUAAGCCCGGGAACCUGGGUCUAAUUCCCGAUAGGACUGCAGGGUGGUGCCUGUGGUGGAAAACGAUCUUCUAGUGGUUGGGGAUGAGCUCGCGGCCUAUCAGGUUGUUGGUGGGGUAAUGGCCUACCACGGCGGCGACGGGUAGCCGGCCUGGGAGCGGCGACGCUCAAACUGAGACAGGGAACAGGCCCCGACAACGAGGAGAAGCAGCAGUGGUGAAGCGAGCAGCGAGGGCCGUAGGGUGACGCAGCGACGCCGUGUUGGGGAUGACGGCCUUCGGGUUGUAAGCUCCCAUCGAACGACAGAAAGCAACGUGAUUGGAAGGGUGGUGACGGUAGUGGAAGAAGAAGCACCGGCUAACUACGUG